This 253-nucleotide ribosomal RNA is filed under the name uncultured bacterium. Its description in RNAcentral is "partial 16S ribosomal RNA". It matches the Rfam family "Bacterial small subunit ribosomal RNA", at positions 524 to 776 of the family's 1533-position model. The record is from RNAcentral.
UACGAAGGGGGCUAGCGUUGUUCGGAAUCACUGGGCGUAAAGCGCACGUAGGCGGAUCUUUAAGUCAGAGGUGAAAUCCCAAGGCUCAACCUUGGAACUGCCUUUGAUACUGGGGAUCUUGAGUCCGGGAGAGGUGAGUGGAACUGCGAGUGUAGAGGUGAAAUUCGUAGAUAUUCGCAAGAACACCAGUGGCGAAGGCGGCUCACUGGCCCGGUACUGACGCUGAGGUGCGAAAGUGUGGGGAGCGAACAGG